GACGGAGGAUGCAAGCGUUAUCCGGAAUCACUGGGCGUAAAGCGUCUGUAGGUGGUUUAAUAAGUCAACUGUUAAAUCUUGAGGCUCAACCUCAAAAUCGCAGUCGAAACUAUUAGGCUAGAGUAUAGUAGGGGUAAAGGGAAUUUCCAGUGGAGCGGUGAAAUGCGUAGAUAUUCGGAAGAACACCAGUGGCGAAGGCGGCUCACUGGACUGGUAUUGACGCUGAGGUGCGAAAGCGUGGGGAGCAAACAGG
RNAcentral lists this ribosomal RNA (253 nucleotides) under uncultured bacterium. Its description in RNAcentral is "partial 16S ribosomal RNA". It matches the Rfam family "Bacterial small subunit ribosomal RNA", at positions 524 to 776 of the family's 1533-position model. The record is from RNAcentral.